GGGUCCAAGUACAGUGAGGUUUAUGAUGAAUUAAUCACAACUAGUUACAGAUGUCUCUGUUCCUUCUCCACUCCCACUGUUUCACUUGACUAGUCUUUA
RNAcentral lists this Y RNA (99 nucleotides) under Carlito syrichta (Philippine tarsier). RNAcentral describes it as "Y RNA (ENSTSYG00000035208.1)". It matches the Rfam family "Y RNA". Rfam says of the family: Y RNAs are components of the Ro ribonucleoprotein particle (Ro RNP), in association with Ro60 and La proteins. The Y RNAs and Ro60 and La proteins are well conserved, but the function of the Ro RNP is not known. The record is from Rfam by way of RNAcentral. Lineage: Eukaryota; Metazoa; Chordata; Mammalia; Primates; Tarsiidae.